AUCGACUCUUAUUUUAUCAU
Molecule: small nuclear RNA, 20 nt
Filed under: Arabidopsis thaliana (thale cress)
Lineage: Eukaryota; Viridiplantae; Streptophyta; Magnoliopsida; Brassicales; Brassicaceae
Description: snRNA_06325
Source: RNAcentral